UGUCAUGACUUCUGAGCUGUUUGAAAGAGAAUGUUCUCAGAAUCAAGCCAUUUGGAAUGGACAGAAUGAAACAGAAGUCAAAGAGCUGUCUACACGUCCUUCCCAAGCUAUAAUUAAGAUGGAAGCUCAUUUGCCAUUCUGAGGAUUGGUGCAAUCAAGCAUAUGACAGCAAGAUUUUGGAACAUUUUUAUCAGUUUUGGAACCACAGCUCCUCCAUGGCCAAAUUUCUCUUUAUGUCUCAGGUUUCAGAGCAUGGCCUAAUAUUUCCCGUACAGACAGGCCGCUCCGCUGCCCUUCUGAUUCAGCUGACCACUGUGCACUGUAGCGACGUGCAAGGGGUAGGAGUGGACACAUUCCAGCUCGCUGGGGUUUGGAACGGCACCUCUCAUUCCCAGAGAAGGGAUUCUCUGUGGAGGCUGAGUUGGCAGUGCUCAAGCUUGCCUUGCGGUUGGCACGUAGGCCAUCAGCAAUCAUCUGAGUAUCAACCUGCCAAGCUGAGGCCGUCCUGGGGCACAGAGAUUUAUUGCUAACAGAGGAAAGAAAAGAAACCAUUUCCUUAAUUCUGCUUUGCAGGCCACUCUCAUGGAAAGGAACUCCCCUGCUGCCCUGAUCAGUUCAAUAUCUAACUCAUCAUGCCUGUGUUCUUCCCCAGCAGCUCAGGCCGGUCUGCUACCAGGAACAGGUGCCAAAUCAGAGUGUGGAAUUUUCCCAGCAGGCCCCAGGGUGUGUUGCUGCCAAGGCAACUGUGGUAGGGUUGGGGAAUAACUAGCGAACCACAAAUCCAGAAAAGGAAGAGGAGGCCUCCUUUUCGGCUUGGGCCAACUCAGAUGUGCCAGUAAAUAUGAAUUGGUUGGAUUUGACUUCUCAAUGAUACACAAUGAUUCUCUACCUGGACUAACACCACAGAGGAUGCCAUAGAAACUUCUGAGAUUUCGAUGAUAAAUAUAAAAAGUUGAAGCUUUGGGGAGCCCAAGCCAGGAAGCUGGAGGUCACCCAGCCAAAAUAAUCUACUCUGCCUGCCCAAGUGUGAAGCCUAGUGUGAAACCUACUCCAGAGGUGAAACCCCACCAAGAGAUGAAAACCACUUUGGGAAAUACCUUAUGUCUGAUAUUUUCUUCUUCAUUUUUUGAUAGGACUUUUUUUUUCCUGCUCAAAAGUGACUAUCUGGUAGUACAUUCCCAGAGGAUCCUGGCCAGGUAACAGAGAAGUCUGAAAGGCUACCUUGAGAUAAGGUACUAACAGCCUGUGGUAGCUUUAAUAGAAUAUUCUGGUUUAAAUAACAACCUUGAACAUCCAACUUAUUCAGAUUCAACAAACAUCUAUCGAGUAUUUACCCUCUGCAGAUAAGACAAGGCCAUGUAUUAGAUGUUUCCUCAUGUGUUAUAUCAUUUAGUGAUUACAACAAACAUCAAAGGUAGCAUCCCUACUUUACAAAGUAAAACACAGAUACUCAGAAAGGGUAAUUUAUUCACUGAAAGUCAAAGUGAGAUGAAUUCAAACAUAGGUCCUCUAACACCCAGGGCACAGACUGAUGAUGUUCAUGACCAGCUGAGUUUAUGAAAUCUCUUACGCUGUCUGUCCCUAAUCUGCCUAUACAUUAGCAAGGUGUAGAGAAGCACCAUGCUUCUGUCCAACAUAACAGGGUUAGAAGGUCACUUUUCUGCAUGUUUCUACAUUAUUUUCAAAACUGCCAUUCAUCUGCGUUUUCAAAUAAAUAUCAACAAAAUUA
Molecule: long non-coding RNA, 1729 nt
Filed under: Homo sapiens (human)
Lineage: Eukaryota; Metazoa; Chordata; Mammalia; Primates; Hominidae
Description: HSALNT0367308
Source: RNAcentral